AUACGUAGGUGACAAGCGUUAUCCGGAAUUACUGGGCGUAAAGGGCGCGUAGGCGGCGCUUCAAGUCGUCUGUCAAAUGGGAGGGCUUAACCCUUUUUCGCAGACGAAACUGGAGAGCUUGAGAAGCAGAGAGGCAAACAGACUUCCUGGUGUAGCGGUGAAAUGCGUAGAUAUCAGGAAGAAUACCAGUGGCGAAGGCGGUUUGCUGGCUGCAUACUGACGCUGAAGCGCGAAAGCCAGGGGAGCAAACGGGAUUAGAUACCCCGGUAGUCCUGGCAGUAAACGAUGUAUGCUGGGUGUGAGACUAGCGAUAGUUUCGUGCCGAAGUUAACGCGAUAAGCAUACCGCCUGGGGAGUACGGUCGCAAGAUUGAAACUCAAAGGAAUUGACGGGG
Molecule: ribosomal RNA, 394 nt
Filed under: uncultured bacterium
Lineage: Bacteria
Description: partial 16S ribosomal RNA
Rfam family: Bacterial small subunit ribosomal RNA
Source: RNAcentral